GAUAUGUCCGUUCCCAGGCAACGGACUAGCUCUGCUGCCUCGCUUGCUGCAUCCUCGAUCUCCUUCUGGAACGCGACUCUCAGGCUAGGUGGCGCCUAGACAGGGUGAGUAGAAGAAGCAUGUCACAUGAAAUUUGAUUAAUUUUGUUUUUUUGCUUUGGACUAAUCAAUGCUACUGACUAGGUUCAUAUGUCUUGUCUUAGCAGAAUAUAUCUAUCAUGAAACAGCUCAUGAGUAGAGAUAUGAUUCUUUGGAGAAUAAUCAGAAAGGUAUGUAUCAAUAUUCAACAAUAUGCAUAUAUGUGCUGAUUCUUUCCAAACUUUUCUGCUGUUUCAGUGAAGAAAACACUAAGAGUCUAGUAUAAAUGAUGCAUAUAAAACAGAUUCUGUAGCCCACAAGCACUAGGUUCACAUAGUUGUUUGUGCAGUUGAAUUAAUACAGAGAAACGGUGGCUGAUAAGCAUACAGACCUGAAUUUCUGAAUGUAGAACACCAUGAAGAGCCAUGACCUCAUAGGUACAAUAUCUGAGGACUGCACCAACCUUGACAUAUUCUGACCAUGGAUAAAAGAUGUGCAUAAACCUACCAUGGGGGGCUCCCAUUUCGCCGAACUUGCCUGAAAUAAACAAUAAAAAUAAAUAAAAUGAAAUAUGCUUUCUUUCUGUGUUGAAUGACAGCAUAAAGAUAGUAGUAAGUAGUACCAGGGAUUCUAGUUUAGCUGAGGAGUUCAAUGUGGAUCGACACUUUCGAUAUGCAGGUUCAUCAGGGAAGUCAUCCAUCACAGUCUUUGUAAACUCGGGAUGUUCGGAUCCAUCGUCCUUCAAAUACUUCCCCACACACUCUGAAGAAAAUCACCAAGUGAAAUGAGAAAACAAUGAUCAUUAAAC
RNAcentral lists this long non-coding RNA (885 nucleotides) under Salvia miltiorrhiza (redroot sage). RNAcentral's name for it is "long non-coding RNA (SMIL_LNC010927)". The record is from RNAcentral. Lineage: Eukaryota; Viridiplantae; Streptophyta; Magnoliopsida; Lamiales; Lamiaceae.